AUACGGAGGGUGCAAGCGUUAAUCGGAAUUACUGGGCGUAAAGCGUACGUAGGCGGUUCGUUAAGUUAGACGUGAAAGCCCCGGGCUUAACCUGGGAACUGCAUUUAAAACUGGCGAACUAGAGUUGAGUAGAGGGGAGUGGAAUUUCAGGUGUAGCGGUGAAAUGCGUAGAGAUCUGAAGGAACACCAGUGGCGAAGGCGACUCCCUGGACUCAAACUGACGCUGAGGUACGAAAGCGUGGGUAGCAAACGGGAUUAGAUACCCUAGUAGUCC
Molecule: ribosomal RNA, 274 nt
Filed under: uncultured bacterium
Lineage: Bacteria
Description: partial 16S ribosomal RNA
Rfam family: Bacterial small subunit ribosomal RNA
Source: RNAcentral